RNAcentral lists this ribosomal RNA (502 nucleotides) under uncultured bacterium. RNAcentral's name for it is "partial 16S ribosomal RNA". It matches the Rfam family "Bacterial small subunit ribosomal RNA", at positions 30 to 523 of the family's 1533-position model. The record is from RNAcentral.
AUUGAACGCUGGCGGAAUGCUUUACACAUGCAAGUCGAACGGCAGCACGGGUGCUUGCACCUGGUGGCGAGUGGCGAACGGGUGAGUAAUGUAUCGGAACGUAUCCAAUAAUGGGGGAUAACUAAUCGAAAGGUUGGCUAAUACCGCAUACGCCCUACGGGGGAAAGCAGGGGAUCUUCGGACCUUGCGUUAAUGGAGCGGCCGAUAUCUGAUUAGCUAGUUGGUGAGGUAAAGGCUCACCAAGGCGACGAUCAGUAGCUGGUCUGAGAGGACGACCAGCCACACUGGAACUGAGACACGGGCCAGACUCCUACGGGAGGCAGCAGUGGGGAAUUUUGGACAAUGGGGGCAACCCUGAUCCAGCCAUUCCGCGUGAGUGAAGAAGGCCUUCGGGUUGUAAAGCUCUUUCGCAAGGGAAGAAACGAUACAGUCUAAUAAACUGUGUUAAUGACGGUACCUUGAUAAGAAGCACCGGCUAACUACGUGCCAGCAGCCGCGGUAA